AGGACGAACGCUGGCGGCGUGCUUAACACAUGCAAGUCGAACGGAAAGGCCCUUCGGGGUACUCGAGUGGCGAACGGGUGAGUAACACGUGGGUGAUCUGCCCUGCACUUUGGGAUAAGCCUGGGAAACUGGGUCUAAUACCGAAUAGGACCACGGGAUGCAUGUCCUGUGGUGGAAAGCUUUUGCGGUGUGGGAUGGGCCCGCGGCCUAUCAGCUUGUUGGUGGGGUGAUGGCCUACCAAGGCGACGACGGGUAGCCGGCCUGAGAGGGUGUCCGGCCACACUGGGACUGAGAUACGGCCCAGACUCCUACGGGAGGCAGCAGUGGGGAAUAUUGCACAAUGGGGGAAACCCUGAUCCAGCGACGCCGCGUGUGUGAAGAAGGCCUGCGGUUGUAAAGCACUUUUAGUGGGGACAAAAGCUACGGAUUAAUACUCUGUGGUCUUGAUUUAACCCAAAGAAAAGCACCGGCUAACUCUGUGCCAGCAGCCGAC
This 493-nucleotide ribosomal RNA is filed under the name uncultured bacterium. RNAcentral describes it as "SSU rRNA". It matches the Rfam family "Bacterial small subunit ribosomal RNA", at positions 26 to 518 of the family's 1533-position model. The record is from RNAcentral.